RNAcentral lists this ribosomal RNA (342 nucleotides) under Triticum aestivum (bread wheat). Its description in RNAcentral is "partial small subunit ribosomal RNA". Lineage: Eukaryota; Viridiplantae; Streptophyta; Magnoliopsida; Poales; Poaceae. The record is from RNAcentral.
AAUAAUGUUGUGACAAGUGUUCAAACAAGUGAUGUCGACACCGAUGACUUCCCGAUUAAGAUAGGACUGCAUCAGGGGUCAGCUUUGAGCCCUUAUCGUUUUGCAUUGGUGAUGGAUGAGGUCACAAGGGGUAUACAAGGAGAUAUCCCAUGGUGUAUGCUCUUUGCGGAUGAUAUGGUGCUAGUUGACGAUAGUCGGACGGGGGUAAAUAGGAAGUUAGAGUUAUGGAGACAAACCUUGGAAUCGAAAGGGUUUAGGCUUAGUAGAACUAAAACCGAGUACAUGAUGUGUGGUUUCAGUACUACUAGGUGUGAGGAGGAGGAGGUUAGCCUUGAUGACUAG